RNAcentral lists this unclassified non-coding RNA (143 nucleotides) under uncultured Meliniomyces. Its description in RNAcentral is "sequence contains ITS2". Lineage: Eukaryota; Fungi; Ascomycota; Leotiomycetes; Helotiales; Helotiaceae. The record is from RNAcentral.
UAACCACUCAAGCCUCGGCUUGGUCUUGGGGUUCGCGGUCUCGCGGCCCUUAAAAUCAGUGGCGGUGCCGUCUGGCUCUAAGCGUAGUAAUUCUCUCGCUAUAGGGUCCCGGUGGCUACCUGCCAGAACCCCCCAUUUUUUAC